This 376-nucleotide unclassified non-coding RNA is filed under the name soil metagenome. RNAcentral's name for it is "partial contains 5.8S ribosomal RNA, internal transcribed spacer 2, and large subunit ribosomal RNA". The stretch from base 1 to 120 matches the Rfam family "5.8S ribosomal RNA", at positions 35 to 154 of the family's 154-position model. The record is from RNAcentral.
GAUGAAGAACGCAGCGAAAUGCGAUAAGUAAUGUGAAUUGCAGAAUUCAGUGAACCAUCGAAUCUUUGAACGCACAUUGCGCCCGGCAGUAAUCUGCCGGGCAUGCCUGUCCGAGCGUCAUUUCUCCCCUCGAGCGCAGCUUUCCCCCCCCGGGGGAGGGCCGCGCCCGGUGUUGGGGCGCUACGGAGGAGCCCAGCGCUCCCCCGUAGGCCCCGAAAUGUAGUGGCGGUCCCGCCGCGGCGCCCCCUGCGUAGUAGUUUUACAACUCGCAUCGGGUCCCGGCGGAGGCCAGCCGUCAAACCCCCCAACUUCAAUAGUUUGACCUCGGAUCAGGUAGGGUUACCCGCUGAACUUAAGCAUAUCAAUAAGCGGAGGA